RNAcentral lists this ribosomal RNA (301 nucleotides) under uncultured bacterium. RNAcentral's name for it is "partial 16S ribosomal RNA". It matches the Rfam family "Bacterial small subunit ribosomal RNA", at positions 509 to 807 of the family's 1533-position model. The record is from RNAcentral.
CAGCAGCCGCGGGAAUACGAAGGGUGCAAGCGUUAAUCGGGAUUACUGGGCGUAAAGCGUGCGUAGGCGGUUUGUUAAGUCAGAUGUGAAAUCCCCGGGCUCAACCUGGGAACUGCAUCUGAUACUGGCAAGCUUGAGUCUCGUAGAGGGGGGUAGAAUUCCAGGUGUAGCGGUGAAAUGCGUAGAGAUCUGGAGGAAUACCGGUGGCGAAGGCGGCCCCCUGGACGAAGACUGACGCUCAGGUGCGAAAGCGUGGGGAGCAAACAGGAUUAGAUACCCGCGUAGUCCCUGUCUCUUAUAC